This 497-nucleotide ribosomal RNA is filed under the name uncultured bacterium. RNAcentral's name for it is "partial 16S ribosomal RNA". It matches the Rfam family "Bacterial small subunit ribosomal RNA", at positions 28 to 507 of the family's 1533-position model. The record is from RNAcentral.
GAUGAACGCUGGCGGCGUGCCUAAUACAUGCAAGUCGAGCGAACAGACGAGGAGCUUGUUCCUCUGACGUUAGCGGCGGACGGGUGAGUAACACGUGGAUAACCUACCUAUAAGACUGAGAUAACUUCGGGAAACCGGAGCUAAUACCGGAUAAUAUAUUUAACCGCAUGGUUCAAUAGUGAAAGACGGUUUUGCUGUCACUUAUAGAUGGAUCCGCGCCGCAUUAGCUAGUUGGUAAGGUAACGGCUUACCAAGGCAACGAUACGUAGCCGACCUGAGAGGGUGAUCGGCCACACUGGAACUGGGACACGGUCCAGACUCCUACGGGAGGCAGCAGUAGGGAAUCUUCCGCAAUGGGCGAAAGCCUGACGGAGCAACGCCGCGUGAGUGAUGAAGGUCUUCGGAUCGUAAAACUCUGUUAUUAGGGAAGAACAAAUGUGUAAGUAACUAUGCACGUCUUGACGGUACCUAAUCAGAAAGCCACGGCUAACUACGUG